AAGAGCCCGUAAGGGGAAUUGUUUCUGCCAACCCCCAGCAGACCAGUCAGGCUCGUUUGAAAUGUCAAGUGAAGACGCGGCCCUGGAUCUGAAGCCAAAAUCGCUCUUCGCCAUCAGGAUUUUUGGCGUGUCACGCAAUCUGAACAACGACAGGGAGAUUGAACGCAGGAUGAAACCGUGAGCGACUUUGUGCAGACGAUUAGGCGUGUAUGGCGCAACGUGCACCAGGAAGAAAGACGCAAGCAUUGUGUUCAGUGUGGCGGAGACUCAUGCACGUCAUUACAAAAUUUGCAAAUGCUUUGAGAAAGACAAGUUGGACCGGAAGUGAGAAUCUAUGUGCUUUUUUUUUUUUUUUCAUUGUUGUUCAUCGUCCGAUCAUUGCGAAUUUUACGCCCGUGUGAGACGAGCGAUCAGGUGUGUUGAUGAUGACCCAGGCGAAAAUCUGGACUGGUCCCAGAAUGGUUCCAGUUGAAUCUGGACUGGUUCCAGUUGGAUGUUUGAUGGUCCCGGAAUGGUUCCAGUUGAAUGUGGAUGGUCCCAGGUGGAUUCCCAAGUGGAGUGGCUGGUUCCACUUUGCUGACAUCAGUGGUACCACUCUGGUCUCAGAUGG
Ornithodoros turicata is the source of this 610-nucleotide long non-coding RNA. RefSeq lists it as uncharacterized. The transcript is spliced from 3 exons. Lineage: Eukaryota; Metazoa; Arthropoda; Arachnida; Ixodida; Argasidae. The record is from RefSeq and is a predicted model, not a curated record.